GGGACCCCGGUGCCGCGUCACCCAUGUCAUCUAUGUCACCUGCGGUGCGGGGAGCUCCAUUCCCAGAAGGGCCUGGGCAGCCCUGCGCGGGCCGGACCUCUGUCCUCCGCGGGAGGUGCCCUGCCUGGCUGCGCUUCCCGCGUCCCCAGUAAGCCCCAUUGGCAGGUCAGCGGGCGGCUCUCUCAGCCUCCUCAGCUGGGGGACUGGACGCUGACCCCUCUGGCCUCCCCACGUCCAGCCUGGCCUCUCCUGUCGUGUUCCCACAGGAGCAGAGCAAACCUGGUAGAAGCUGAAUGGAGCCGGCGCGGUCAUCCCAGGGCUCCGGAGGCCAGGGCGGGAGGAUCGUGAGUUCAAGUCAGCCUCAGCAGUGAGGCCCUAAGGAGCUCAGUGAGACUCUGUCGCUAAAGAAAAUGCAAAACAGGGCUGGGGUGUGGCUCAGGGGUCGAGUGCCCCUGGGUUCAAUCCCUGGUACACCCCCCAAAAUGCUAAAUGGAAUCUGGCCUGCCCUGGCUCACCCCAGCCACCUGUACUUCAGGGACCAGGGGACCUGCCCCUCCCCUCCCCUGCAAGCAGCCUGGGAUCACCCUGGGCUGCACCUGUCACGGGCUGUGUCACCCCUCCCCAGAAUGCCAGCCGCUGCGGAUGGAGGUCUGGCCUGUCACUCCUACGUCCCUGGAUCUCAGAGCAGAGCCUGGCGCACGCUGGUGCCCAGAGCCAGUGGUGGAAUGUGCAGGAGCGCGUCCCCGAGGACCCCAGCCUGAGCAGAAGGGAGGACCCUGGGAAGAGGAACAGAGAAGGCCUUAUAAAGCGCCUACUGUGUGCCCAGAGCCUUCUCACUCCCAUCACCUGCAGGACUCACAGGUAGUGACUGAGCACCUACUACGCGCCAAAGUCCCCAACCCCCUGGAGCCGAGUGGUGCACGACCCCGGGGAGCAGGGGACGCACCGGUCACCAGGCACAGACUGUCAGGGUGUCUGGAGGGACGGGGACCUUCGGGGACCUUCAGGGAGCAGGAGACACGCUGUGAAAGAGGAAACCCCUGGUGCUGAGCAAGUGCAGGCUGGCCUCGCCCUCAGCCGGGAAGGUCCUGAGGAAGUGAGCCGUGCCCUUGCCGGGCCCGGCCGGCGGAUCCAGAGCCUGGGAGGAACAGCGUCCCCUUCCUGGCGGGCACAGCUGGGCCAAGACCGGACGCGUCACCCCGCCCUGGAAGCUGGUGGCUGGGUGGAAACGCCCCGCCUUGGCUCGUCCCCUGGGGAAGGCGCUCCAGGCUGGCUGCCCGUGCGUCCUGCGGCCACCCCUUCCCCUGGACCGCGGCUCCCCCAGGCCCCCAAUGCAGCAGGGUUAGGGUUAGGGUUAGGGGGCAAGAGGACAUCCCAGGCCCCCUUCCCCAGGGUCCUCGGGAUCUGGAAAGCACCCUCUCUGGGGCUGGGGUGGGAAGGAGACUCCGCCGCUCCAGACCCUGAGUCAGGGACCCCGAGGGCCUUGGCAGGAAGUGACCCGCAGCCUCACGCACAACGGAGGACACUGAGGUCCUCGCAGGCUCAGGCUGUCAGCCGCUGCGCCACGCCUCGGCCCGGGCUUCCCGGGGUCCUCCGACAGCCCCAGGGAGCAGGCCAGGCCAACUCGGAGACGCAGCUGGAGGCCACGGCACCAGUUAAUGGGGAGCAGGUGGCUUAGGCCUGUCCCCUGCGGGAGGAGGAGGAUGGACGAGGGGCUGGGUCAGCUCCACGUUCAGCACCCUGGGUGGCCCGGGGCAGCUGGCAGAAGCCCAGCCACCUGCAGGUACCAGGUCCAGCCAGAGAGGCACAGGCCAGCCACCAGGCAACAAUACACGUGAGCGGGUUAAACGGGUCUGUUAAAAGCAGAGACUCUCACGUUAGACCGAAAACCAAAUAAAUAUGCGCUGCCCAGCUGUUCCAGGGCCCGUUUCAGAUUCUCAUGGCAGAGCUGGGGAGGAGGCCACCGUAGAGCACGUGCCCAGCAGGGGACCUGGGUUUGAUCCAGCACCUCCCCCACCCCCCACCCAGAUCUCACCUGCUCAGGAAGGGGAUCGGGAGAGUCCUGCCGUGGAGGCCUGGGUGGAGCCCGAGGGGUGGAGACGCGGGGCCUGGGGGAGCUGGACAACAGAUGGCCCAGAGCGUGAAGCGGCCAGGCCGGCGGCCAGGCCAGGCAGGUCAGCGUGGAGAUGAGCUGGGUCUGGUUUGUCCAGAGCCGGGGGCAGCCACUGAUCCGGGCUCUCCCAGCGACCCCCAAUGGACUAUGGGCCUUCCCAGCCCGGGGCCUUCCUCCUGUCCCAGAGCCUCAAGGUGGCCGACCCCCACGUCCCCACCGGGAAGAAGACCCACCAGGACGGGUGCCGGCGCUGACGCUUCAUUGAGUUCUGUGGUCAGAUAAUAAAACUGAGGCUCAGAGAGACGGAGGGGUCUGCCCAGGGUCAGAAAUCCAGGGCAGGGCUGAGUUGGGACUCAGUGUACUGGACACUGUCCUUGUGGCUGACCGCACCUCGGAAGUGGCAGAGACCGCAGAGACCUGGAGAUAGCUGGUGAGGUCAGCGUCGGGCCCUGGUGACCCACCCUUGGGCCAGUGGUUUCAGCGCUGAGCAGGCAGCUUCUUAACGGGUCUGUGGUGAGCCAUGGACAGAGGAGGAGACUGAGGCUCAGAGUGGGGAAGUGACCAUCUUGGUCGUGGCCUGAGCCCUCCAGUGGGCCUGGUACCGGGUGUGUUCAGUGAAUGGUGACCCCCUAGGAAGGGCCAGCGGAGGAGGUGGAGGCCUGGGUUGGGGUGGGAGCAGGAGCAGGGACACCAGUGGGCUCCUAGCCCUGCCCCUCACGGCGCCCCAGACAUUCCUGAGGGGCCUGGGCCGUGGGAAGACCCCGCGUCUCUUCAGGCCUCACCGAGGUCCUGCCCCAAACAACAGGAAGUGCCAGGCGGACCCCACCCCCACCAGGCUGUGGGAAGCGCUGGGACUGCAGGGCUCCCAGCACGCGCAGCCUCCGUGGGGCUGUGUGACCUUAGGCAAAGCCUUUGCCCUCUCUGGGCUUUGCUCUCCCCAGUUCUAGUCACAGGCUCCAGGGCAGAGAUGCUGUGCCGCCUCUGGAUGUGUGACCUUGGGCAGUGGCCGGGCCCCUCUGAAACCUAGCUCCCUCUUUUGCACCUGGGGACAGUGGCCACACCUGGGGGACAGUGGCCACAUUUGGGGGACAGUGCCCACACCUGGGGGACAGUGGCCACACCUGGGGACAGUGCCCACGGUGCACGCUCUCUCCCCGGAGCCAGGGUCACCCCACUCAGAGUGUCCGAAGUGACCUCGGGGCCCUCUGGCCAGGGCCAGCUUCCUGGGCUCAGGACCUGGCGGCUCUCUCCCGCCUCAGUCCCCUCCGUGAAGCAGGCAGA
Long non-coding RNA from Ictidomys tridecemlineatus (thirteen-lined ground squirrel), 3394 nucleotides. RefSeq lists it as uncharacterized. NCBI's taxonomy places the organism in Eukaryota, Metazoa, Chordata, Mammalia, Rodentia, Sciuridae. The record is from RefSeq and is a predicted model, not a curated record.